AUGGACUCUAUUAACGCCAGCAAGCAAGGAAGCCAGUUUCUGCAGGUUUAUAUUCUCCACUACUCCCCGACAAAGCACGCCCAGCACAGACCCCAAGGCCAGGCGCUUCCCAGUCUGGAUCUAUUGACCCGGGGACCACCUGAGCCACGCAGGCGCACAGACGGGAACCCUCCCCCACCCCGCUCCCAGCGCGCUCCCGCCUGCCCCUCCCGCAAGCCCAGCGGGGGCGGGAAGUCUGGCGCGCGCGCGCCGGCCCUUCGCCCGGGCUCCGCCCCCCGCCCUGCCGCGCGCUCCCGCCCCCGGGCUGAGGCGACUCUGAGUCGGAGCCCGACACAAAGGCGGUGGCGACGGCGGCAGCGGCAGCAGCGAAGGGACCCUAGAGGCCGCUCCGCCCGGGCUCUCCGGGCCCACUGCACUCACCCCAGCCGGCAGUCCUGCUGCCCACCCGCGGCUCUAAGAUGGCGGCGACGAAAGAGACCGGGCGAGCGGCAGCCCCGAGCGGGAAGCGCCGGAGGGGCCUCCGCCGUCCUGCUUCGGACUCCCGGACCCAGGCGCGGCACGCAGCGGGACCGUGGCUUCCUGGGGCUCUUACCUGCCCGAAGCGGACUCGAGGGGAUGCGGCCACACGUUCUGCUCGACCGCCCGUUUUGCCGCCUCCGCCUCGCCCUCCCCAGCGCCGCUGCCGCCAUCUUGUGUCCCGGGCCGGGACUCCGCGCUGCGCAUGCGUCGGUACCGCCUCUGAAGGACCUCGCCACGGCCGCGCCGCCAUCUUGAGUGUGGCAACGUUGACUGGCUCCCCAGACCUUGAUGGCUUUCGCCCCCACCCCCCGCCCCCAACUCCCCAUUUUCCGGUUGAUCUGGGUGGUCCCUUGUGGUCCUGAGGAUGGGGAAAAACAGCGUUGCUAUUCUUGAAACGUAGGUGGGAAGGAAGGAAUCUAUCGCACACCCCUGCCUCAGUUUCCCUGCCGAACGCAUUCGCAGGGGCUGAAGAUCUAGGACACUUUAGGGGGCACGAAGCUGGUCUAGAGUCUUCUGGGGGCUCUGGCUCAGUUGCCGACAUAGGCGGAGCGGUGACGUAGGCCCUGCACGUUGGGUCCUGGCCUGCACAGUGCUCUGCCGCUUCCAGCUGGUGUCCUCUCGGGGCCUCUGCCCUCUAAGGGUCCUGGAAUGUUAACUCUCUCUGCCUAGAGGCCAGGUGACGAAGACGUGCAAAUCGAACCUUUGCGCGUUAGCAACCUGCUCACAAAUUGCUCUUGAAUAGUCGUAGCUUUUGGAGGAGUGCAAAUAGGGUAGAUGUGGCUUUGGGCAGUUGUAAAGUUGUGAAGGCUGCACACAGCUUAGUGGGAGACGCUUCUGCAAGGGGCCAUCGUCGGGCUCCCUUCCGGAAUUAGGCUCCUAGCUCCACCCACUUGUGGCCUCCUAAGGAAGCUGUUGCCCAGUUAAGGUAACUUGAAAGGAGGACAAGUUUGCCACCUGCUGCUGGACUAGCGUAGCAGAUGGCCCAGCUGGUCAGCCUCUCAGGUCUAUGACGCUGUCGGCGCUGGCUGCCCAGUAACUUGGAGCUGGAAUGUUGGGAGGUCAGGAAAAAUGGUCAACAAUAUAAACUAGUAAGAGUUGGAGGAGGAUCUUGUCUAGUCUGCCCACAGACACCUGACCAUCGACCCCAGGUGUGUCCAUCUUAGGGAUUUUUUUGUUCUUUUGGUUUUUUGAUAGUUCUGCUAUAUAACCCUGGCAGACCAGGAACUCAGCAGUCUGUCUGCCUGCUGGGUGCUGAAAUUAAAAGCAUACACCAUCA
Mus musculus (house mouse) is the source of this 1795-nucleotide long non-coding RNA. RefSeq annotates it as RIKEN cDNA 4930445K14 gene. The transcript has 2 exons. The record is from RefSeq and is a predicted model, not a curated record. NCBI's taxonomy places the organism in Eukaryota, Metazoa, Chordata, Mammalia, Rodentia, Muridae.